AGCGAACGUUAGCGGCGCGCCUAACACAUGCAAGUCGCACGAGAAAGGGAGCAAUCCCCGGUACAGUGGCGCACGGGUGAGUAACACGUAGAUGACCUUCCCUGGAGUGGUGGAUAACCUGCCGAAAGGCGGGCUAAUACAGCAUGGGACCACAUGGUUUUGACCGAGUGGUGAAAGCGGGCCUCUGUUCACAAGCUCGCGCUCUGGGAUGGGUCUGCGUCCCAUCAGCUAGUUGGUGAGGUAAUGGCUCACCAAGGCAUCGACGGGUAGCUGGUCUGAGAGGAUGACCAGCCACACUGGAACUGAGACACGGUCCAGACUCCUACGGGAGGCAGCAGUGGGGAAUCUUGCGCAAUGGGCGAAAGCCUGACGCAGCGACGCCGCGUGGGUGAUGAAGGCCUCGGUUGUAAGCCUGUGGGAGGAACGGAACCGUACGGGGCGGAACGACCCUCCGUACCUGACGGUACCGUCCUUACGCAAGCAUCGG
RNAcentral lists this ribosomal RNA (487 nucleotides) under uncultured bacterium. RNAcentral's name for it is "bacterial SSU rRNA". It matches the Rfam family "Bacterial small subunit ribosomal RNA", at positions 28 to 496 of the family's 1533-position model. The record is from RNAcentral.